Molecule: ribosomal RNA, 425 nt
Filed under: uncultured bacterium
Lineage: Bacteria
Description: bacterial SSU rRNA
Rfam family: Bacterial small subunit ribosomal RNA
Source: RNAcentral
GUGGGGAAUAUUGCACAAUGGGCGCAAGCCUGAUGCAGCAACGCCGCGUGAAGGAGGAAGGCCUUCGGGUCGUAAACUUCUGUCCAAAGGGAAGAAGAAUGACGGUACCUUUGGAGGAAGCCCCGGCUAACUACGUGCCAGCAGCCGCGGUAACACGUAGGGGGCGAGCGUUAUCCGGAAUUACUGGGCGUAAAGAGUGCGUAGGUGGCUUUGCAAGCGUAGGGUAUAAGGCGACAGCCCAACUGUCGUUGGCCCCGCGAACUGUAAGGCUUGAGUACAGGAGGGGAAGGCGGAAUUCCUAGUGUAGCGGUGAAAUGCGUAGAUAUUAGGAGGAACACCAGUGGCGAAGGCGGCCUUCUGGACUGUAACUGACACUGAGGCACGAAAGCGUGGGUAGCAAACAGGAUUAGAAACCCUAGUAGUCC